UACGAGGGGGGCGAGCGUUGUUCGGAAUUACUGGGCGUAAAGCGCGCGUAGGCGGCUUUGUAAGUUAGAGGUGAAAGCCCAGGGCUUAACCCUGGAAUUGCCUUUAAGACUGCAUCGCUAGAAUCGUGGAGAGGUGAGUGGAAUUCCGAGUGUAGAGGUGAAAUUCGUAGAUAUUCGGAAGAACACCAGUGGCGAAGGCGACUCACUGGACACGUAUUGACGCUGAGGUGCGAAAGCGUGGGGAGCAAACAGG
Molecule: ribosomal RNA, 253 nt
Filed under: uncultured bacterium
Lineage: Bacteria
Description: partial 16S ribosomal RNA
Rfam family: Bacterial small subunit ribosomal RNA
Source: RNAcentral